RNAcentral lists this long non-coding RNA (224 nucleotides) under Manihot esculenta (cassava). RNAcentral's name for it is "long non-coding RNA (MESC_LNC011730)". The record is from RNAcentral. Lineage: Eukaryota; Viridiplantae; Streptophyta; Magnoliopsida; Malpighiales; Euphorbiaceae.
UUCUGGUGGAUGAUGGGAGUAAGGUCAAUUUAUUGCCAUAUCGGGUUUUCCAGCAGAUGGGAAUCCCAGAGGAACAGCUGGUUCGGGACCAGUCACCCAUCAAAGGGAUAGGAGGAGCACCGGUACUUGUGGAAGGGAAGGUGAAGUUGGCCCUUACCUUGGGAGAAGCACCCAGGGCUCGCACCCAUCAUGAGGUGUUUUUGGUGGUCAAACUCCCACUAAGC